AACUUCUCCACUCGUGAUCAGACUGUUUGCUCGUGGGCCUCUACCACAGCUCCAGCUCCACAGGAGCUCCAAUCUGCCGUACAAACCUUGCACUUUCAUGGAAGCCACCAAAAAGAAUUAGCUGUCGCUUCCAGGCCACCAUCCGAUGCCCACUUCGACCUGAAGGACCCCCUGUUGAUCUAAAAUGAAGAGGAAUAAAAAAAACAUUGUUAGGGCUGGAGAGAUGACUCAGCAGUUAAGAGCACUGACUGCUCUUCCAGAGGUCCUGAACUCAAUUCCCUGCAACCACAUGGUGGCUCCCAACCAUCUGUAAUGGGAUCGGAUGCCCUUUUCUGGUGUCUGGAGACAGCUACAGUGUGCUCAUAGAA
This 368-nucleotide long non-coding RNA is filed under the name Mus pahari (shrew mouse). Its description in RNAcentral is "lncRNA (MGP_PahariEiJ_G0003064.1)". The record is from RNAcentral. Lineage: Eukaryota; Metazoa; Chordata; Mammalia; Rodentia; Muridae.